This 349-nucleotide unclassified non-coding RNA is filed under the name Hevea brasiliensis (rubber tree). The record is from RNAcentral. Lineage: Eukaryota; Viridiplantae; Streptophyta; Magnoliopsida; Malpighiales; Euphorbiaceae.
AACGAUUGUAAAAAUAAAGUGGAUACAAAUUACACCUAAAUGGUAUCCUAUUAGUUGCCUAAUUAGCUAGUAACUCUACUUUUAAAAGUUUAUCAAAGUUUACACAACACACAUUGAUGUUUGAUUCACCUGUUUAAAUAGCUAUUUGCUGCACCCAAAAAGAUACCCACUAAGCUAAGUCCUGGGUUUCAAAAGUGACUCACGAAAAAUCACUUGAAUACGCAAUACAUGUGCAUUACAUGUUAAAUUAAGAUUGAAUCAAAUGUCUCAGAACAAAUACUCGUUAAUUUCAGAUUGCAUGUCAUUGUUCUUCCAUGACUCUAAUAAAAAUAAAAAAAAAUAAAUAAAU